RNAcentral lists this microRNA precursor (157 nucleotides) under Pelobates cultripes (western spadefoot toad). The record is from RNAcentral. Lineage: Eukaryota; Metazoa; Chordata; Amphibia; Anura; Pelobatidae.
GCAGACACAUUCCAGCCAAUCAGCAGCAGACCCUCCCUCCCAGACCCUCCCACCUCCUGGACAGCUCACUAAGAAUGCAGCUUCACAAUGGAUGCUGUCCAGGAGGUGGGAGGGUAUGGGAGGGAGGGUCUGCUGCUGAUUGGCUGGAAUGUGUUUG